GCUGGUCUCGAACUCCUGACCUCAAGUGAUCUGCCUACCUUGGCCUCCCAAAGUGCUGGGAUUACAGGCCUAAGACACCAUGCCCAGCCAAGAAUUUUCUCUUCAUUUUUAACUCCCAGAGGGAAAGGUAGAACACUGAAAGUGUUGAUCUUGCAUUGGAGACGGGAGGGAGGCACCACCUCCAAAAGCAGGCCAGUGAGAGCAUGUCUGCCCUGUUCCAGGCCGUGCGCCUGGAGAGCGCCUGGGCGGAUCGGGUCCGGUACAUGGUGGUGGUGUACAGCAGCGGGCGCCAGGACACCGAGGAGAAUAUCUUGCUGGGAGUGGACUUUUCCAGUAAGGAAAGUGGGUUCAGCGUGAGCACGGCAGGAAGGAUGCACAUAUUUAAGCCUGUGUCUGUCCAGGCCAUGUGGUCUGCCCUGCAGGUGCUUCACAAGGCCUGCGAAGUGGCCCGGAGGCACAACUACUUCCCCGGGGGUGUAGCUCUCAUCUGGGCUACCUACUAUGAGAGCUGCAUCAGCUCUGAGCAGAGCUGCAUCAAUGAGUGGAACGCCAUGCAGGACCUGGAGUCCACGCGGCCCGACUCCCCCGCACUGUUUGUGGACAAGUAAGUGAGGCGCCUCCGGUC
Molecule: small RNA, 625 nt
Filed under: Pongo abelii (Sumatran orangutan)
Lineage: Eukaryota; Metazoa; Chordata; Mammalia; Primates; Hominidae
Description: retained intron
Source: RNAcentral